CAUCAUUCUUCUGAGUUGUUAUAUCAAUAACCAGAUCAUUCUCUGCCUUUUUCUUCCUAUCCUCUGAAGCUAUGUAUGUUUUACUGGUCGUUGUUCAUGGAGCAUCCAAACCCUUCAUCUCCCUUUUUCUUCCUAUCCUCUACCUAUGCUACACUCUUGAGUCCCGUGAGCAUCCCUGCACAAUUCAAUCCCCCAUCGUUCGUCUAUCUCUAUGACCUACGCCCUAUUUCAAAAUCCAGUUGUGGAUUCUGCUUUCCAGGAUAUGUGCCUAAACUCUAGAUCAGAAAGCCAGCUCUCCAUACUUCUUUACUGGUAGGAUUGUUCUGGCUUUGGGGGUUUUGAUUUUUUUCCAGCACUGUCACUUUCGCUUAUUCUGAUGAUGGAAUGUUGGUACCAGUCUGUUGAGAAGAGAAAAUCAGCUUCAACAGUAUGUCCUCCCUCUCCUCCUCCGCCAAAGGUAGUAAAAGUUGAAUCACUCACUACCGCUGAAGGUGGCGCUGCUUCAUCAGGGUUGCAUUGAGAGGAUUCAGAAGUAUUCUGGUACAUCCUCUUUCAACCAGCAAUGUUUUCUGCUCUGAAUGGACAACAAUUUGGAUCAAAAGCUUAUGGGAGAAACUUGCCUCCAAACAGGCUGCAAUUUCAUUUUAUUUCUGUUUGAUUAAAUUGAUUUGCAUAAAACUGGAGUGGAAUUUAUAAGUGUUAUGAAUUUGCACUUAUUUUGUGGUUUAGGGAGAAAAAUUGUUGAAGUUGUAAUAAAUGUGAUGACUUUUCAGUAUGCCUAGGCUAACAUAACUAACUAUAAUUCUUUG
Long non-coding RNA from Lotus japonicus, 809 nucleotides. RefSeq lists it as uncharacterized. NCBI's taxonomy places the organism in Eukaryota, Viridiplantae, Streptophyta, Magnoliopsida, Fabales, Fabaceae. The record is from RefSeq and is a predicted model, not a curated record. The transcript has 6 exons.